Long non-coding RNA from Xiphophorus couchianus (Monterrey platyfish), 1173 nucleotides. RefSeq lists it as uncharacterized. Lineage: Eukaryota; Metazoa; Chordata; Actinopteri; Cyprinodontiformes; Poeciliidae. The transcript has 2 exons. The record is from RefSeq and is a predicted model, not a curated record.
CUUCUGUUUACACAGGAGAAGAUUCUGACUGGAAUUCAAAACACAAUACGGCUUUGUGCAGUAAAUCGAUCACACUGGUAUCUUGUGAAACCACCCAAAAUCAAAAUACUGCCGCUCUAAAAAAAAAAAAAAAAAAAAACACGGUAAAAAGUCUUUCACGUGCUAUUUUACAAAGAAAAUCACCAAAGAAUUUUGAAAAGGACACCAAUAUUUAAAAGACAGAGCCCUUAUGUAGCCUAUCAGGUAAAUUACAAUAUAAAAUCUAAUUUAAAAAAACGACCUAUAUAAUAAGAAUUCUGGAUCAGAAAAACAGGUCAGAAUUUUUUUUUUUUUUUUUACAUUUGUUUCUGCACUUUCCGGGAGGGUUUUAUGUUUCUGUUUUAUUUCUCUACUUUUCAAUGUGGACAUAUUUAAUGUUGCGUCAGUGGUUUCCUUGUUCCACCGAGGAAUGAAAUGACAACAAAGCUCGUCCAAGACAAAACGAAGUAAAAAUCUGACCCUCCGGCCCCAGACAUUUGUUUAUCAAGAACGAGAACCAUUCAUGUUUGACUUAACUGUUUGAGCAGAGAUGAAUUAAAUUGCUUGACAUUUCCAUCUAAGAUUAAAUUGCCAAGUUUACUUUGUGAAAGUGCAAAGAGUCGCCUUCAUAGUUCGAUUGUUGCGUUACCAUGGCUACAGUGUGAGGCUAAGGAUUUAAUCUUUGUGUUUCAGUUCUGUUCGUACCGAAAUACCUAUCAAUGAUAAUUAACCAAUUAUCAGUGAUUGUUUUGUUUUUUUAUCUUAGUCUAUUGAACUGGGACCCCUCUACCAGAUUCUACCACAUCUGUACUGAUUAGUGGCUCUGAUGUUCUUUACAGGAAGAGGGGCCCCUAAAUCACAUCCUGCCUGAGGCUCCAGCUCUACCCUCUAGAUGCAAAUAAUACCAAGCAGCUGAGCCAUCGUCGUCAUCGUCAUACAGAAACUAAACAGGAGGAGAAGGAUGUCUCUCUCAGUCAGCAGAGCCAAAGGUUUUCCUUCCUGUUGAGAGUGGAGGGCUCAGUUUUAUUGAAAUGGACUGAAAGAGACAAAGCGAGUGGAAGGAAGAUGGUGAAUGCUCCAUAGAUCAUCACUGGCUGGCAGCUGCUGAAUGAUUUCCAGAAAAAAAAAAUUAUAAAAAAAUCUUCUAAAAUUUAA